ACAGAUCGUUCAGAGUUUGAUCCUGGCUCAGGACGAACGCUGGCGGCGUGCUUAACACAUGCAAGUCGAGCGGGGAUUGAUCCUUCGGGGUCAAUUCUAGCGGCGGACGGGUGAGUAACGCGUGAGCAAUCUGUCCUACACAGGGGGAUAACACUUGGAAACAGGUGCUAAUACCGCAUAAGACCACGACACCACAUGGUGAUGGGGUAAAAGAUUUAUCGGUGUAGGGUGAGCUCGCGUCCGAUUAGGUAGUUGGUGAGGUAACGGCCCACCAAGCCUGCGAUCGGUAGCCGACCUGAGAGGGUGAUCGGCCACAUUGGAACUGAGACACGGUCCAA
RNAcentral lists this ribosomal RNA (338 nucleotides) under uncultured bacterium. Its description in RNAcentral is "bacterial SSU rRNA". It matches the Rfam family "Bacterial small subunit ribosomal RNA", at positions 1 to 334 of the family's 1533-position model. The record is from RNAcentral.